AUUGAACGCUGGCGGCAUGCUUUACACAUGCAAGUCGAACGGUAACAGGCCGCAAGGUGCUGACGAGUGGCGAACGGGUGAGUAAUGCAUCGGAACGUGCCCAGUCGUGGGGGAUAACGCAGCGAAAGCUGCGCUAAUACCGCAUACGAUCUCUGGAUGAAAGCGGGGGACCGAAAGGCCUCGCGCGAUGGGAGCGGCCGAUGUCAGAUUAGGUAGUUGGUGGGGUAAAGGCCCACCAAGCCAACGAUCUGUAGCUGGUCUGAGAGGACGACCAGCCACACUGGGACUGAGACACGGCCCAGACUCCUACGGGAGGCAGCAGUGGGGAAUUUUGGACAAUGGGCGCAAGCCUGAUCCAGCAAUGCCGCGUGCAGGAAGAAGGCCUUCGGGCUGUAAACUGCUUUUGUACGGAACGAAACGGUCCGGGUUAAUACCCUGGGCUAUGACGGUACCGUAAGAAUAAGCACCGGCUAACUACGUGCCAGCAGCCGCCGUAA
Molecule: ribosomal RNA, 497 nt
Filed under: uncultured bacterium
Lineage: Bacteria
Description: partial 16S ribosomal RNA
Rfam family: Bacterial small subunit ribosomal RNA
Source: RNAcentral